UACGUAGGACCCAAGCGUUAUCCGGAUUGACUGGGCGUAAAGAGUUGCGUAGGUGGUUUGUUAAGCGAAUAGUGAAAUCUUGUGGCUCAACCAUAAGGCUAUUGUUCGAACUGGCAAACUCGAGAAUGGGAGAGGCAUCUGGAAUUCCUCAUGUAGGGGUAAUAUCCGUAGAUAUGAGGAGGAACACCAAUGGCGUAGGCAGGAUGCUGGCCCAUUUCUGACACUGAGGCACGAAAGCGUGGGGAGCGAACCGG
RNAcentral lists this ribosomal RNA (254 nucleotides) under uncultured bacterium. RNAcentral's name for it is "partial 16S ribosomal RNA". It matches the Rfam family "Bacterial small subunit ribosomal RNA", at positions 524 to 776 of the family's 1533-position model. The record is from RNAcentral.